CUUUGCUCAUGAUUCAUUGUUAUUAUUUUAAAAUCUGAAAAGGUUUUUCAAAGAGUAACUAGAUAUCAGUUUUAGAAACAGCAGUAGGCAGUAUAUGCUUUGAAUGACUACAGGAGCUCAGACUUUAGUUAAGAACCUGUGGGUUUAAAGUGCAGGGACAAAUUUAUCCUGCCAAAAAAUGAAAUGUGUUACAGGACUUUUCAACAGAAAAAAGCAAACAAAACAAAAACAGUUCAAAAUAUGUUUGAUGAUUUAGUUCUGUUCAGUUUGUGUUUGGUGAAACAAUCCACAACUUAAUAUCUUGUUUGGAAAAUGUAUGAAUAUAAAUACACCCCAGCAGUCUCACAAUCCCUGGAUGCCUAAAGCAACCUGUUUAACCACUCAACCACAAAUAGAAAAAACUAUUUGACUGCCAUUUGAAUGUCUCUGGUGAAAACACAUUCCAGAAACAUUUGAAUGUGUGUUUCUGGAACAGGAAGAACCUAUGCUCAGAGCUUCACAGCAGUACAUAUGGCUGCAGUGCAGCUUUACGCGCUGUAGUGUGUUAUAACUAAAUGAUUGAAAGAUGAGUGUUGGUGUUUCGUGUGCUAUAAAGCUGAGGACAGAUAUUGAAUUGAAAGGUUCAGAUUUACCCCCAUGUUAUUUUUAUCACUAUGGGGAAUAGGAGGAAUCCAGUGGACUUCCUUCUCCUUGUCUCCUUAAAUGCUGAUCUUGAAACUGUAAAGAGUAGAGUCAUCUCUUCAGCAGAAAAAAAUUAAAUGUCCUUACAUUUAUUUUUUUUGGGGGGGUGGGCAAAGAUUUGGUAAGAAAUAAUGGUUUGGUUUAAAAAUACUGUAAAAUCACCAGCUCAAAGGAGUUUAAUUUAGGAAAUCUGUUCCUGUAUAAUUUCCACACAAAAAAGAGACUAGAUCAUGUAUUAGCGUGCUGUCUCUCCUUCAACAGAUGUUCUGCAUAACACAUUUUUAUAUACAAUUAUUAUUGAAAUUAUUAUUAUGUUAAAAUACAAUAUAUUUUUGGGCUUACUAAGAUACAUUUGUAAUAUACAGGUAUUUUUAUAAUAAUAUUCCAGCACCACCAACCAUCCACUCUGAAUCUAGUGGCCCUGAUGCUCUUAUGUGAAUUAAUACAGACAGUAAUUCUGAAAAGAUGGAGACCAGGACAAGGAUUCUUUGGAAGUGUUAGGACUCCUGACCCCAAACCAAGCUCCUAGGCCCUAGCUGUAUACUAAAUACUAAGUGUAGAUCUUAAGUCAUUGCAUAGGUUUAAGUGUGAUGAAAGUCCAACUACACUAAAAUACUUUUUCUGUGUAAUUAAUUCAGAUCUGAAUCUAGUGCCUAGGGGUAUAGCUAGGGGUAGAUUUAGAAAUGGGCAAAAGGUUGGACCUAGAUUGUUCCAGGUCAGCCCCCAUAGACUACACUUUGACCUGGCGUUCGGGGAAAACGGGACAGAAUGUAUGUUACAAAACAAACUGGAUCAAGUGCACUGUAAAUAUGAAUAUGAAGUUCAUUGAUGUGAUUUUUUUUUAAGUCCAUAUAUAAUUUUACCCUGCUUUUAUUAUUUAGAUUUAAACAACUGCAUUUUGAAUUUAUGAUCGUGUUUUGUAAUUUUAUUUGCACUAAAUAUUAACAAA
This is a long non-coding RNA of Esox lucius (northern pike), 1630 nucleotides long. NCBI's taxonomy places the organism in Eukaryota, Metazoa, Chordata, Actinopteri, Esociformes, Esocidae. The record is from Ensembl.